AAAUGAUACCACAGUGAGACUCCGUUAUUAGCUAUGUAGACUAUAUGAUACCACAGGGAGACUCCGUUAUUAGCUAUGUAGAGUAUAUGAUACCACAUGGAGACUCCGUUAUUAGCUAUGUAGAGUAUAUGAUACCACAUGGAGACUCCGUUAUUAGCUAUGUAGAGUAUAUGAUACCACAUGGAGACUCCGUUAUUAGCUAUGUAGAGUAUAUGAUACCACAGGGAGACUCCGUUAUUAGCUAUGUAGAGUAUAUGAUACCACAGGGAGACUCCGUUAUUAGCUAUGUAGAGUAUAUGAUACCACAUGGAGACUCCGUUAUUAGCUAUGUAGAGUAUAUGAUACCACAGGGAGACUCCAUUAUUAGCUAUGUAGAGUAUAUCACCACAUGGGGAGACUCUAUUAUUAGCUAUGUAGAGUACAUGAUACCACAGGGAGACUCCGUUAUUAGCUAUGUAAAGUAAAUGAUACCACAGGGAGACUCCAUUAUUAGCUAUGUAGAGUAUAUGAUACCACCGGAGACUCCAUUAUUAGCUAUGUAAAGUAAAUUAUAUCACCGGAGACUCCAUUAUUAGCUAUGUAAAGUAAAUGAUACAACGGGAAGACUCCAUUAUUAGCUAUGUUAAGUAAAUGAUACCACGGGGAGACUCCAUUAUUAGCUAUGUAGAGUAUAUGAUACCACGGGGAAACUCCAUUAUUAGCUAUGUAAAGUAAAUGACACCACAGGGAGACUCCAUUAUUAGCUAUGUAAAGUAAAUGAUACCACGGGGAGACUCCAUUAGUUGUUAUGUAAAGUAAAUGAUACCACGGGGAGACUCCAUUAUUAGCUAUGUAAAGUAAAUGAUACCACGGGGAGACUCCAUUAUU
Molecule: long non-coding RNA, 867 nt
Organism: Oncorhynchus tshawytscha (Chinook salmon)
Lineage: Eukaryota; Metazoa; Chordata; Actinopteri; Salmoniformes; Salmonidae
Source: Ensembl